GCUGGAGGAGGUGACACACACCUGUGGUCCCAGCUACUUGGGAAGCUGAGGCAGGAGGAUCACUUGAGCCUAGGAGUUGGAGGCCAGCCUGAAAAUCAGUGAGACCCUGUCUCAA
RNAcentral lists this small RNA (115 nucleotides) under Marmota monax (woodchuck). Lineage: Eukaryota; Metazoa; Chordata; Mammalia; Rodentia; Sciuridae. The record is from RNAcentral.